AUUUCUCUGCCCCUUCACUCUCAAAAUCUGUUCUCCAGAAAGAGCUAGUCCGCCUAUUCACACUGAGUUCUAAUGACCUGACUUAAUCAAAGUAUUGUCAUUUCUAGGGAUGUUUGAAAAAUCCAAGCAUUGUAAUCUCUAAUUAUGCAACUAUAGGUAUCGGUAAGCGGUAACAAGGACACUUGUGGAGCUGAUAGCCAACUGUGACCAUGAAACAGCAGAAAGAGAUGGCUGGUUUCCCUGUACACAAGGGCAAAUACAGAUAGUCUCAUUAAUGGUCAGACCAAGAAUUUGACAAAGAUUCAUUCUUGUUGCAUUCUAUUAAGAGUAAAUAUUAUACAUCCAGUAAUCAGUGAACCAUGUCCACCAAGUGAUAAGAAGUUCUGGUUGUAGACUUUAACCCUAGGAUAGGAUUUAACACCAUCUGUUCUGUAUAACAUUUGGAACUAACUUCAUAAUUAUAAUAAACAUCUACAUUAGAAAUUCCUCUACCACCAAGCGCUAUGAGCGAAUUAUAAAUAAGAUUUUAUUUGCUCCAAAGAUGAGCAACUCAGGAUUCUUUGUUAUAGACCCUAAACCCAGAUAAAAAUUAAAAUCUCAAAAAAAAAGAAAAAAAAACAGAUGUCCCUAGAUAAAUGUUCCAGUAUACAACCAGUACAAACUGUCUGGCUAACUUUUUUUUUUUUUAUGAAAUCAGAUAUUCCAGAGCCACCUUUAUCACCAAACAUAAAAGCAUCCCACUGCAUACCUCAACAGAAUUGCCUGCAUAUCCUUAAUGUCUUUCCAAGCAAUUUUAUGCAGUCAGCACCCUAUACAUUAGGGAAGGAAUGGAUGUGUGCUCUAUGGGUUCUUAUAAUAGCAAUGAACCUUCAUAAUCAGACUCAUUCCUUAAUUUUGCUUACUUUUUCAUGCAGCUGCAUUAAUACUACAUUGUCAAAGACAAAGACGAACAUGAGACAUGAGAUAUGAGUUUUAAAAAAAAGAGAGAAGAGCAAAAAAACAAUACAGCUAUCCAAGGAGCAAGUGCUGAGCUUGUGUAAAAACAGCUCCUAUUUUAUUAAAUAAUAGUGUUCCUGCAGGGAUGUCUGAAGUACUCUGCAAGGCUAAUUAGGACAGAUCAAUGUACACUUACCUCUCCAGAAGGCUGAAAGAUACAGACUGAAAUGUUACCAGAUAAAAUGAUGUCAUGUCUGGGAUUCGCUUCAAAAUAAUUUGAGGUGGAAGUGGAAAGUGGAAACAACAAUUAUGAAACAACCUGGCCCAUGAGAUGAUAGCUGUUGAAGGUAGGUAUAGUUAUACAAAAUUUCAUUAUACUUUUCCCUCUACUUUUCUAAUAUAUUCUGAAUUUUCAUAACAAAAAGUUAAAUACACUUAAAAGUAGACAAAUACAUACUAAUUUGAGGUGGUGGUUAAGGACUCAGAAGUUACAGUCCAUGUGUCUGAAUGAAAGUAGUUUCUCAAACAUGCAGAUAUCAGAGAUUUGUGGGAUUCCUUCAAUGGAGAACCAUGUUUUCUCCACACAGAACACUGGUUUCUGAGCAAAAGUAGGCCCUCUUCCUGAAAACAGAUCUGACAAUAUGAAAGUGGUUGGCUACUUAACUGAAGAUACCAAAAGGAAAAAAAAAAAGGACACCAAAAAACUGGGUCUACAAAUGUGGUUGUUGGUUCUCCUUGUUUUUUUUUU
Molecule: long non-coding RNA, 1684 nt
Filed under: Homo sapiens (human)
Lineage: Eukaryota; Metazoa; Chordata; Mammalia; Primates; Hominidae
Description: HSALNT0328022
Source: RNAcentral